CCUACGGGUGGCAGCAGUGGGGGAUAUUGCACAAUGGGGGGAACCCUGAUGCAGCGACGCCGCGUGGGUGAAGAAGCGCCUCGGCGCGUAAAGCCCUGUUAGCAGGGAAGAAAAUGACGGUACCUGAAUAAGAAGCCCCGGCCAAAUACGAGCCAGCAGCCGCGGGAAUACGAAGGGGGCAAGCGUUAUCCGGAUUUACUGGGUGUAAAGGGGGCGCAGACGGCGCUGCAAGGAAGGAGGGAAAGCCCGGGGCCCAACCCCGGGACUGCUCUUGGAACUGCGUGGCUGGAGUGCAGGAGGGGCAGGCGGAAGUCCUGGUGUAGCGGUGAAAUGCGUAGAUAUCAGGAGGAACACCGGUGGCGAAGGCGGCCUGCUGGUCUGCAACUGACGUUGAGGUCCGAAAGCGUGGGGAGCAAACAGGAUUAGAUACCCGGGUAGUC
RNAcentral lists this ribosomal RNA (440 nucleotides) under uncultured bacterium. RNAcentral describes it as "partial 16S ribosomal RNA". It matches the Rfam family "Bacterial small subunit ribosomal RNA", at positions 338 to 795 of the family's 1533-position model. The record is from RNAcentral.